This 253-nucleotide ribosomal RNA is filed under the name uncultured bacterium. RNAcentral's name for it is "partial 16S ribosomal RNA". It matches the Rfam family "Bacterial small subunit ribosomal RNA", at positions 524 to 776 of the family's 1533-position model. The record is from RNAcentral.
UACGUAGGGUGCAAGCGUUGUCCGGAAUUAUUGGGCGUAAAGAGCUCGUAGGCGGUUUGUCGCGUCGAAUGUGAAAACCCGGGGCUCAACUCCGGGCCUGCAUUCGAUACGGGCAGACUAGAGUUCGGUAGGGGAGUCUGGAAUUCCUGGUGUAGCGGUGAAAUGCGCAGAUAUCAGGAGGAACACCAAUGGCGAAAGCAGCUCUCUGGGACGGUACUGACGCUGAGACGCGAAAGCGUGGGGAGCGAACAGG